GUGUCAGCAGCCGCGGUAAUACGGAGGGUGCAAGCGUUGUUCGGAAUUACUGGGCGUAAAGCGCGUGUAGGUGGUCGAGUAAGUCGAAUGUGAAAGCCCCGGGCUCAACCCGGGAAGUGCAUCCGAAACUGCUCGACUAGAGUCCCGGAGAGGAAGGCAGAAUUCCCAAUGUAGGGGUGAAAUCCGUAGAUAUUGGGAGGAAUACCGGUGGCGAAGGCGGCCUUCUGGACGGUGACUGACACUCAGACGCGAAAGCGUGGGGAGCAAACAGGAUUAGAUACCCCCGUAGUCC
Molecule: ribosomal RNA, 292 nt
Filed under: uncultured bacterium
Lineage: Bacteria
Description: partial 16S ribosomal RNA
Rfam family: Bacterial small subunit ribosomal RNA
Source: RNAcentral